This 424-nucleotide ribosomal RNA is filed under the name uncultured bacterium. Its description in RNAcentral is "bacterial SSU rRNA". It matches the Rfam family "Bacterial small subunit ribosomal RNA", at positions 358 to 773 of the family's 1533-position model. The record is from RNAcentral.
CGAGGCAUCGGCAAUGGGGGAAACCCUGACCGUGCGACGCCGCGUGAGGGAUGAAGCUCUUCGGGGUGUACACCUCUUUUCCGGGGGAAGAACCCUGUACGGUCGAAUAAGCCGUACAGCUGACGGUACCCCGGGAAUAAGCUCCGGCUACCUCCGUGCAAGCAGCCGCGGUAAUACGGGGGGAGCAAACGUUGUUCGGAAUCACUGGGCGUAAAGGGCGCGUAGGCGGCCCGGCAAGUGGUGUGUGAAAUGCCCUGGCUCAACCAGGGAACUGCGCUCCAAACUGCCGGGCUUGAGGUCAGUAGAGGAAGCUGGAAUUCCAGGUGUAGCGGUGAAAUGCGUAGAUAUCUGGAGGAACACCGUUGGCGAAGGCGAGCUUCUGGGCUGCACCUGACGCUGAGGCGCGAAAGCUGGGGGAGCAAAC